UACGAAGGGGGCUAGCGUUGUUCGGAUUUACUGGGCGUAAAGCGCACGUAGGCGGAUUGUUAAGUCAGGGGUGAAAUCCUGGAGCUCAACUCCAGAACUGCCUUUGAUACUGGUAAUCUAGAGUCCGGAAGAGGUGAGUGGAACUCCUAGUGUAGAGGUGGAAUUCGUAGAUAUUAGGAAGAACACCAGUGGCGAAGGCGGCUCACUGGUCCGGUACUGGCGCUGAGGUGCGAAAGCGUGGGGAGCAAACAGG
RNAcentral lists this ribosomal RNA (253 nucleotides) under uncultured bacterium. Its description in RNAcentral is "partial 16S ribosomal RNA". It matches the Rfam family "Bacterial small subunit ribosomal RNA", at positions 524 to 776 of the family's 1533-position model. The record is from RNAcentral.